CGUGAGGCAACCCAACACUGGAGCCUACCCGGCUCUUUGGUUUGGGCUAAUGGCAGACUCUGUGAGGGCUCACGCCAAGGAGUACUUCCCCAAACUUCUGCUGCCAGAGUCCUUGUCCCCAAGGUGAGCCAUAGCCACCCACUGCCUCUGCAGUAGACCCUCCAACAGUAGCAGGCAAACUCUUCCCCAG
This is a long non-coding RNA of Aethalodelphis obliquidens (Pacific white-sided dolphin), 190 nucleotides long. RefSeq lists it as uncharacterized. The transcript has 3 exons. The record is from RefSeq and is a predicted model, not a curated record. NCBI's taxonomy places the organism in Eukaryota, Metazoa, Chordata, Mammalia, Artiodactyla, Delphinidae.